Hylaeus volcanicus is the source of this 1583-nucleotide long non-coding RNA. RefSeq lists it as uncharacterized. The record is from RefSeq and is a predicted model, not a curated record. Lineage: Eukaryota; Metazoa; Arthropoda; Insecta; Hymenoptera; Colletidae. The transcript is spliced from 4 exons.
UCGAAGAAGAAAUUUGGACUACCAUUUUUUGAAGUGAAAUAAAAUUGUAAACUUCAAGUAAUUCCGGAGAUUUUAUAUUUUGUAUGAAAUUGGCAUUCCUUUAACGUAUAUGUAGAUUGGUUUCGAUACUGUCAUUGCUUUUUAUUAAGUAUUUCAUUUUAGAAAUUGAUAAAUGUGUACCGCUGUCACGUUCAAACUAUUCAAACUGUCCGCGCAAAGCAUGCUGGGUAAAAUAUUGCAAAAACUUCCAUUCCCGAUCGGUGGCUGGAAGCGUCUAGAUCGAUUCUGCGAUUGAAGAUGAAUUAUUCAAUUAAUUUUUUUACUUUCUUCGCUGCGAUGCGUCUAAAUUGUACUACAACCUUCAAGAAAUAAUUAUUGUUACUCCGUAUGUGCUGUCCAUCUCUAUUUUAAAGGUAAGAUACGCUUAAAUAUGUGUUCUCGACACACAGCCGAAUCAGUUAGAAGCGCAUAGAAUGUUAAAGUAGCUUAUAACGAUUUUCUGCAUAAUGAUUCAAUCAUUUUUCACUUUCUCUAUGAAACAAACAAUUCUUUAAUUUGCAGUGACUAACAGUUACCUUCAAUUAAUCUUUUUUUUAGCAUAUACUGGAUAUAGCGUUUGAAUCCACGCUGUGGUGGAACAUUGCCUUGAAUGUCGAACGAUUGAAUUUCUACGACUUGUCUAUGAUUGACGAGUGGCGGAGCAGUCAAAGGAAAUCCAGGCAGUCGACGGUAAUGCACAAUGAACAAAGUAAAUUGGCCGCUCAAGGUCACCGAAGGAAUUCUCCCACCACAAAAAAUAGCGAUGGGAGCGAGUCACUGCGCUUCGUUGGGGACAACCGGGAACUUUGAUGCUGCGAAAUCUAUCCGAAAUUCCUCCUCGCAUUUCAUUCAAAUGAGUGGCAAACGCUUCUAAAAGCGGAGACCCGAGAAGUAUUGUUUUCCUGGAAGUAUGAUGCCCGAAGCUCGGAGUUACUGGUCGCUUAUUGACGUGUUCCACUUAUAGCGACAGCUCCGUCUGACAUUAAUCCAAGAAGCACCUUAACGUCUUUUCUCAACGUAAAAUCACAAACCAGAAUCGACAUCUUGUCAAGGGAGUCUUGCUGGACUUCCGACUGAAGUAUUUUGAUCUACGUCACAGUUUAAAACUGAAGCGCAUAAGUUAAGCAAUCAGCUACCAUGAUUAAGUAAAUCUGAUUAGACUCGGAUUACGUCUGUAACACCGUCAGAGCCACCAAGCAAAUAUACCCGACAUACGCGGAAGACCUAUCCAGUGCAAGAAGAUGACCACAUCGUAAACAACUUGUGAGAAAAUCGACAUAAAACAUACUACAUGCACUCAGGUGAUAUCAAGGGUGUAACCCUACUGGAGACGAGCCAACCCUGCCUAAUGAUCGGGGUAAAUGGGGUUUGAGCCAUUGGGGAUACCUUCGAGUCCUGCCACACCAACCUGAAGUAUUCCCCAGUUAUUCACCGACUCUACAGCAUGCUUCGCAAUCAUUAGAUUUCGUACUGCUCGAUAAAAAGCAUGGAGAGGGAAAUAAGAGGUAAUUAAAAUUUAUCUGGAACUUGAAAACCAGAACGAU